GGCGGCAUGCUUACACAUGCAAGUCGAACGGCAGCACGGGAGCAUCCUGGUGGCGAGUGGCGAACGGGUGAGUAAUAUAUCGGAACGUGCCCAGUCGUGGGGGAUAACGUAGCGAAAGCUACGCUAAUACCGCAUACGAUCUACGGAUGAAAGCGGGGGACUCGCAAGAGCCUCGCGCGAUUGGAGCGGCCGAUAUCAGAUUAGGUUGUUGGUGAGGUAAAAGCUCACCAAGCCUGCGAUCUGUAGCUGGUCUGAGAGGACGACCAGCCACACUGGAACUGAGACACGGUCCAGACUCCUACGGGAGGCAGCAGUGGGGAAUUUUGGACAAUGGACGCAAGUCUGAUCCAGCAAUGCCGCGUGCAGGACGAAGGCCUUCGGGUUGUAAACUGCUUUUGUACGGAACGAAACGGUCUGCUUUAAUACAGUGGGCUAAUGACGGUACCGUAAGAAUAAGCACCGGCUAACUACGUGCCAGCAGCCGCGGUAAUACGUAGGGUGCGAGCGUUAAUCGGAAUUACUGGGCGUAAAGCGUGCGCAGGCGGUUAUAUAAGUCAGAUGUGAAAUCCCCGGGCUCUAACUGGGACCUGCAUUUGAGACUGUAUAGCUAGAGUACGGUAGAGGGGGAUGGAAUUCCGCGUGUAGCAGUGAAAUUGCGUAGAUAUGCGGAGGA
This 673-nucleotide ribosomal RNA is filed under the name uncultured bacterium. Its description in RNAcentral is "bacterial SSU rRNA". It matches the Rfam family "Bacterial small subunit ribosomal RNA", at positions 38 to 705 of the family's 1533-position model. The record is from RNAcentral.